This 1356-nucleotide long non-coding RNA is filed under the name Chloebia gouldiae (Gouldian finch). RNAcentral describes it as "Erythrura gouldiae (Gouldian finch) lncRNA (ENSEGOG00005012691.1)". The record is from RNAcentral. Lineage: Eukaryota; Metazoa; Chordata; Aves; Passeriformes; Passeridae.
CCCAAUCGGCGGGAGAGACUCGUGUGUGUUUGGCCUUUCCUCAUGACGUAGCGUUCUGUGCCUCUCCCCCCCCCCCCCCCGCUCCCUCUCCUUUUCCCCUCCCUCCUCGCCCCCCUCCCCUUCCCCUCGCAUCCUUGGAAGCAACAAUUAAGCAGCUCUGGGAUAAAACACACAGCCCGCGGGAGCACGAGGGCAUUGCUUCAAGAGAUGGCAAGGCAGGCAGCUGCACCCCUCCUCCCCGGAGUCCUCCUCCUCCUCUCCAUCCUCCCGGCUACUCAGCAAGGAGGGGUUCCUGGUGCUAUCCCGGGAGGGGGAGUCCCAGGAGGAGGAUUUUUCCCAGGUGCUGGAGUUGGAGGUUUGGGAGCAGGACUCGGGGCUGCAGGAAAACCUCCCAAACCAGGGGUCGGAGGACUUGGGGGGGGUCGGAGGACUUGGGGGACUCGGCCCCCUUGGCCUGCAGCCAGGUGCUGCGGGCCUGUUCCCCGGAGCUGCCUUCCCCGGGGGGGGUGUUCCCGGGAGCCGCCUCGGCCGCGGCGCUCAAGGCUGCUGCAAAAGCUGGUGCUGGCAUUGGAGGCGUGGGUGGAAUUGGUGGUCCUGGUGGCCUCGGGGUCUCCACAGGUGCCGUGGUACCGGGCGUGGUGCAGCCCGGCCUUGGCGCGGCAGGGAAACCCCCUAAAAUACCAGGUGCUGGGAUUCCUGGAGCUUUUCCAGGCGGUGUGCUCCCCGGAGCAGGUGUUCGCUUCCCUGGUGUGGGAGUGCUGCCUGGAGUCCCCACUGGAGCUGGAGUCAAGCCCAAAGCCCCAGGAGUUGGAGCAUUUGGAGGAAUCCCUGGACUGGGAGGUUUUGGAGGUCAGCAGCCUGGUGUCCCUCUGGGUUAUCCCAUCAAAGCUCCUAAGCUCCCAGGUAAGGUCCACAGCCAGCAGAGUGGCUUCACUGUGGGUGAAGGAUCCCCAGCAGUGUCAGGAGAAGGACCCGCCAUUCCCUGGGGCUGGGGCACGGUGCCCACAGGUCCCCUGGACCUGGCAGUGCCUGUGCUGGCCUUGGGACAGCAGGACAGAGCCAGGGGCUCUGCUGUGCCCUUCCUGUGGCACCCCAUGGGCAGCUCCUGGGGUUCUGCCUGUGGUCUUGCCCCCGGCUCACGUGGACAAUGCUGUGCCUCUCUCCAGCUGCUGUAAGGUAGGAAGGAUCACGUUCUGGGGACACACUCUGGGCCAGGACACCCUGGGAUGUCCCUGCCACCUGCUGCUGGUGCAAGGCACAGCCCUUGCAGGGACAAUCUGCUUUCUGGGCUGGGUGUCCUGGCUCAAGGAGCUGUAGCUGAGGCCACCUGGGGCCUCCAGGCAGAUCUCUGUCCCC